UACAGAGGUCUCGAGCGUUGUUCGGAUUCAUUGGGCGUAAAGGGUGCGUAGGUGGCUAUGUAAGUCAGAUGUGAAAUCCCGGAGCUCAACUCUGGAACUGCAUUUGAUACUGCGUGGCUAGAGUACUGGAGAGGAGACUGGAAUUUACGGUGUAGCAGUGAAAUGCGUAGAUAUCGUAAGGAAGACCAGUGGCGAAGGCGAGUCUCUGGACAGUUACUGACACUGAGGCACGAAGGCUAGGGAGCAAACGGG
This 252-nucleotide ribosomal RNA is filed under the name uncultured bacterium. RNAcentral's name for it is "partial 16S ribosomal RNA". It matches the Rfam family "Bacterial small subunit ribosomal RNA", at positions 524 to 776 of the family's 1533-position model. The record is from RNAcentral.